Molecule: ribosomal RNA, 709 nt
Filed under: uncultured bacterium
Lineage: Bacteria
Description: bacterial SSU rRNA
Rfam family: Bacterial small subunit ribosomal RNA
Source: RNAcentral
AGAGUUUGAUCCUGGCUCAGAACGAACGCUGGCGGCAGGCCUAACACAUGCAAGUCGAGCGCUCUCUUCGGAGGGAGCGGCGGACGGGUGAGUAACGCGUGGGAACGUGCCCAGAGGUACGGAACAACAGUUGGAAACGACUGCUAAUACCGUAUAUUCCCUACGGGGGAAAGAUUUAUCGCCUUUGGAUCGGCCCGCGUUGGAUUAGGUAGUUGGUGGGGUAAUGGCCCACCAAGCCGACGAUCCAUAGCUGGUUUGAGAGGAUGAUCAGCCACACUGGGACUGAGACACGGCCCAGACUCCUACGGGAGGCAGCAGUGGGGAAUCUUAGACAAUGGGGGAAACCCUGAUCUAGCCAUGCCGCGUGAGCGAUGAAGGCCUUAGGGUUGUAAAGCUCUUUCACCGGUGAAGAUAAUGACGGUAGCCGGAGAAGAAGCCCCGGCUAACUCCGUGCCAGCAGCCGCGGUAAUACGGAGGGGGCUAGCGUUGUUCGGAAUUACUGGGCGUAAAGCGCGCGUAGGCGGGCUGUUAAGUCGGGGGUGAAAUCCCGGGGCUCAACCCCGGAACUGCCUCCGAUACUGGCAGCCUAGAGAUCUGGAGAGGCGAGUGGAAUUCCGAGUGUAGAGGUGAAAUUCGUAGAUAUUCGGAGGAACACCAGUGGCGAAGGCGGCUCGCUGGCCAGAUACUGACGCUGAGGUGCGAAAGCGUG